GGAUGGAAAGUGUCAGGCUGAUAAACUUCACUUAUAAUUAACUUUACUGUUUAACCAUUUAUUCCAGUUGAUGACGGGGCUCAUCUCAAGUGUUGGGUAGAGACGGGGGGUUCUGUAUCUGAUGCACAAGUGCAACUUGCUGCCCCUCUUGUGGUUACUGCAGCUCCUGAUCCGUCUCCCUGCAGAGGGUUUUCUCUCAUCCCUGGGCAAAUGCUCAAGAGAGGAACACUCCAUCCCUUGGCUCCUCAAGACUCCAGCUCUGGCCCAUGAGGGUGGGUAGGAGACACUUGAUUGGUGGGUUGAAGAGUUUUCCAAGCUGUAGGUUUAAAUCUAAACUUCAAUGACUGCACAUCUGUGUGGUUCCACCUCGGGAUAGAGUUGGUAGAUCCGGUGUUGGGGAGUCUGUGGGUUACGUUUGGUGGAUAGUAUAGAGAGCAGCUGGAGCGACUACUAAUGGAGCCUUCCACUUAAAGGGGUCACAGGCUGGUGUAACUAUGGAACUCCCAUGUAGCUUUUAGCAUUUGUGCUUUAUUCACAUGGACUGCUGUUGUAGUUGGGUCAAUAGUAUGGACUAAACUUGAGAGGAACUGUCACAUUUCUGUUCUCGCUUUCUUCUUCCAUGUUACUGUAGCCAGUGACGUAAAGUGUGACGACAUGUACAGCUGCCCAGAUGGACAAACCUGCUGUCUCCUGGGGAUGUUGCCCUAUAGCGCAGGCUGUGUGUUGUGAUGACCAUGAGCACUGCUGCCCCCUGGAUACAUCUGCUCUGGAUCACAGUGUAUGAGUGGGGGGCUCUCCAUCCCCUGGUUCAGCAAGACUCCAGCUCUGAAACAAGAAGAUGGUAAUUGCUCGUCUCCUCCUUCUACAAAGCAAAAUAGUGCAGUGAGCCGAGCUCUGGUUAAUGUAAAGCCCUAGAAUCCUGGACUUACAGACAUUGUAUGGACUGACCCACAGGAACAUGUGAAGGCAACUUACAGACCUUGAGUUCUCAACAGACCAUGGCAUUAACUGUAAGCUCUGUGUGCAGUCUAAAGAGACAUUGGUAAAAUGUGGCAGCCAAUCGCUUCUUCUGCCAAUGGCCCUGUAACAAUUUGAGUGACACUCCUGACCAGGUCUUUGCAGGUACCACAGUGAAAUGCAACGACUCCUUCUGCCGCAUGUAGUCUGGGGUGUGGGGAUGUUUCACUAUAGCGCAGGUGGGAGCUGCCAUUACCCUGCAGAGGGGACUUAUGGGAACUUUGUAUUAAUGAGGCAAAUACUGAACAGAUCAAUGCCUCUUCUUUGUCCUGAUUGGGCCCGCUCUGUUCAUAUGAAAAUUCUGACUGCAGAUGGGGUAGUGGUCUCCUAAAUGGCUGCACAAACUAAAUAGGUGACUCUAAAGGGAGUUGAGGCAUAUUCUCAAACUAAGCUAUUGGGCCCCUUUUUGUCUUGUGAGACCCCAACAGUCCUAAUCCUAUUGGUGCUGCCAGAAGUGUGAUUUAGACUGCUCCUCUGUGGCUACUGAGCCCCGGACUCAUGUACUGCUUUUUGGCACCUGCCAUGUUCCCUCUAGUGCUGCUCUGAUCACUGGCACUGCUGCCCCCAGGGCUUUACCUGUGAUACACGUGGCACCUGUGUGCUGGGCCGGCUCUCUCUCCCGUGGCUCAUGAAGGUCCCGGCUCUGUCCUCUGAUGGCAACUGGUGUGACAAAAGCCACUCUUGCCCAUCUGGUACCACCUGUUGCCCUGGAGAAGGGGGAGACUGGAGUUGUUGCCCAUUGCAGGAGGUAAGUAAAGGUCUUGCUGUUUCUCUCAUUCUUGUUUAAUCCAGUAGAUCUUUCACACAUUAAGGGGUUGAAUUUGAAAAACUGUCAAAACUGUCAUUUUAUUAGGAAGUUUUUUGGGUUUUUUUCAAUUUGAGUUUUUCAAAAUCUCUAGAUUUUUGAGAUUUAUCCUUCUCUGACCCUUUUAAGAACUUAAAUUGUACUAU
Molecule: long non-coding RNA, 1968 nt
Organism: Xenopus laevis (African clawed frog)
Lineage: Eukaryota; Metazoa; Chordata; Amphibia; Anura; Pipidae
Exons: 3
Source: RefSeq, a predicted model, not a curated record